GCCGAUAUUUGAAGUUGUCAGCUGUGCUAUUGUGGGUUAACUGUUCAGAAAGCCUACUUUUUUUUUUUUUUUUUCCUAAGCAGUAAAGCUGUUUCUGUAGUCUUAUUUUAUUUGGUAACUAUGCUGUGUUUAAAUAUAGUUUGUGGGUGAAAUUCUUAUAAGUUAGCAUUUGUACUUUAUAUGGUUUUGUGCUAGGAAACCUCGGUUGAAGAAAAGCACUCACAGGGAACUCUAGCAAAUGUCCUUCCCUCAGGGUGUAUACUGUAGGCACUCCCGCUGUUAUUUUCUGACACCAGAAAGAAGCAAUGCAAACAGGGAAGAACACAGAACUCAAAACACCGUGGGAACUGAUUGGCUCCAUGUCUUUGAUAAAAGGAAUGAACUCAGAAGAAUGAGGAAUAUGACAAGACCUAACGAUGGACGUGAGUCUGAGUGAACUCCGGGAGUUGGUGAUGGACAGGGAGGCCUGG
RNAcentral lists this long non-coding RNA (470 nucleotides) under Capra hircus (goat). Its description in RNAcentral is "lncRNA (ENSCHIG00000000901.1)". Lineage: Eukaryota; Metazoa; Chordata; Mammalia; Artiodactyla; Bovidae. The record is from RNAcentral.